AACGAACGCUGGCGGCAUGCCUAACACAUGCAAGUCGAACGAUCCCUUCGGGGAUAGUGGCGCACGGGUGCGUAACGCGUGGGAACCUGCCCUUAGGUUCGGAAUAACUCAGAGAAAUUUGAGCUAAUACCGGAUAAUGUCUUCGGACCAAAGAUUUAUCGCCUUUGGAUGGGCCCGCGUUGGAUUAGCUAGUUGGUGGGGUAAAGGCCUACCAAGGCGACGAUCCAUAGCUGGUCUGAGAGGAUGAUCAGCCACACUGGGACUGAGACACGGCCCAGACCCAGCCGGGAGCGAGGGGGGGGAAUUAUUGAAAAGGGGGCGAAGGCUGUAUCCAGCAUUCCCGGGGGAGUGAGGAGGCCUUGGGGUUUGAAAAGCUCUUUUCCCGGGGAGAAAAAGGACAGGCCGGGGAGAAAAACCCCGGCCAACCUCCGC
This 432-nucleotide ribosomal RNA is filed under the name uncultured bacterium. RNAcentral describes it as "partial 16S ribosomal RNA". It matches the Rfam family "Bacterial small subunit ribosomal RNA", at positions 29 to 508 of the family's 1533-position model. The record is from RNAcentral.